GAUGAACGCUAGCGGCAGGCUUAAUACAUGCAAGUCGAACGGUAAUUUCGAGCAAUCGAAAACGAGUGGCGCACGGGUGAGUAACACGUAUGCAACUUACCCUUAACUGGGGCAUAGCUCCGAGAAAUCGGAAUUAAUUCCCCAUAAUAUUUUGAACAGGCAUCUGUUUAAUCUUAAAGCUUCGGCGGUUAAGGAUGGGCAUGCGGUUCAUUAGCUAGUUGGUGAUGGUAAAGGCUCACCAAGGCUUCGAUGAAUAGCUGGUCUGAGAGGAUGAUCAGCCACACUGGCACUGAGACACGGGCCAGACUCCUACGGGAGGCAG
RNAcentral lists this ribosomal RNA (322 nucleotides) under uncultured Bacteroidota bacterium. RNAcentral describes it as "bacterial SSU rRNA". It matches the Rfam family "Bacterial small subunit ribosomal RNA", at positions 28 to 351 of the family's 1533-position model. Lineage: Bacteria; Pseudomonadati; Bacteroidota. The record is from RNAcentral.